This 408-nucleotide ribosomal RNA is filed under the name Gammaproteobacteria bacterium RIFCSPLOWO2_12_FULL_38_14. RNAcentral's name for it is "bacterial LSU rRNA". It matches the Rfam family "Bacterial large subunit ribosomal RNA", at positions 2524 to 2925 of the family's 2925-position model. Lineage: Bacteria; Pseudomonadati; Pseudomonadota; Gammaproteobacteria. The record is from RNAcentral.
CCUCGAUGUCGGCUCAUCACAUCCUGGGGCUGUAGUUGGUCCCAAGGGUAUGGCUGUUCGCCAUUUAAAGUGGUACGCGAGCUGGGUUCAGAACGUCGUGAGACAGUUCGGUCCCUAUCUGCCGUGGGCGUUUGAGAUUUGAGAGGAGCUGCUCCUAGUACGAGAGGACCGGAGUGGACGUAUCUCUGGUGCUCCGGUUGUCACGCCAGUGGCAUAGCCGGGUAGCUAAAUACGGACGGGAUAACCGCUGAAAGCAUCUAAGCGGGAAGCCUCCCUCAAGAUGAGAUCUCACAGACGAAAGUCUCUAAAGGUUUGUCGAAGACGACGACGUUGAUAGGUGGGCUGUGAAAGCACAGUAAUGUGUGUAGCUAACCCAUACUAAUUUGACCGUGCGGCUUGACUCUAUAA